Triticum urartu is the source of this 1417-nucleotide non-coding RNA. Lineage: Eukaryota; Viridiplantae; Streptophyta; Magnoliopsida; Poales; Poaceae. The record is from RefSeq and is a predicted model, not a curated record.
AUCAAAGUCGUGCGGUACACGCACCGCAACACUUUUCGCCCCCCUCUCUCUCUCCCUCGACCCUCUCCUCCGCCUCUGCCCAUGGCUCUCGCUCCGACUCCGGCAAUGAAUCUCCGUGGGCGGCCGCCGCGCACGGUCGUGGCCGGCCCGCCUGAGACACGAUUCCUUCAUGUGCGCGUCGUCGUCGUUGCACCUAUCUUCUUCUCGAUCUGUUCCUGGUGGUGCUUGCAUCUCCACAUGGCUAAGGAUCGAGGAGCCCAUGAUCCGAGGCCGCCAUGCACGAUCAUGCCCAACCUGCCGGAGAUUUGUCUUGCUUGCAUGUUCACAGGGCCAUGUAUCGUGGAUCUGAUGAACAAGAUGAACAUCCUAGGUUUUCCAUGUUACUCGUAUGCCUUAACUUGUCCACAUGUACAAAGCGCCGCUGCCACUGAAAGUGGCCAUGCUAGCGUAUGAACCAGUGAUGUACAAUCCAUUCGAAAAAUGUGUGUGUCAGCAUCUCGACAAGUAGCGAAAAUCCAAGGACACCACAACAUAUAUGUACAUGGGAUUUCUAAAAGAUAUGUUUGCUGCUUGCAGAUAUCAGGGGUGGUGAAUCACAUGAAGGAUUUAAUUGAGUUCAGCCACAAGAACAAGCUCGCUCCUAUAGCCGCCGCAGCCGCAGACGAAGUCGAUUAGGAAGCUCUCUCGGUGACCCCUCAAAGAUGGCCUCCAUGGGCGCAGGGAAGGUCUGGUUCUGGUUCGGGAAGGUCUGGGGACGAAAAGGGCAAGGGGCUGGUAAGCAUUCUAUGCUACUUGUUUGAUCUACUAUCGGGUCGGUAAUUCGUGGCUGUUCGUGGCAGAUCCGUCGUGGUAGACAUAGAUCCAACGUUCAGGAGAAAAGAAGCUGAGUUAUUUGUGAUUGAUUUUUUCAUUCAGUCAUGCCUACUAGCGAUUUCUGCUGUAGUCUAAUCUCUAGUGAAAUAUCAUGGCUGCUGUAGUCUUUUAAUGAGAUAUCAUGGCUGCUGUAGACUUUUAGUGAAAUAUCAUGGCUGCUGUAGUCUCUAGCCUGCAACUGCAUCAUUAUUCUGACAACAUCUGCAACUCAGAUGGCCUCCUACUAGUGAUUUUGAGGAUUUCAAAACCCACACUAAUUCAUAUAUCCUGAAGGACCUCGUCAUCAUCCCCAACAGUCUGAGGAGAGCGGCAAGAAGUCUAAGGGCGGAAAGAAAUAGACCUUAUCGUCUGAUAUUUUUAUUUGAUCAUCCCGAUAUGAGACAUGCUAUAUAGUGCUGUAUGCUUAUAUAGCCUGAUGUCCUUAGUCAUGGCUCUAUGUUUCCUAUCCUGGUAUCAGACAUACCGUAGUGCCCUGUAUCCAAUCCAGGCUGUAAAAUAAGAUAUUUAGAUCCUUACGAAGAAUUUUACUAUACUAUUUCAGCAA